Molecule: non-coding RNA, 1014 nt
Organism: Oryctolagus cuniculus (rabbit)
Lineage: Eukaryota; Metazoa; Chordata; Mammalia; Lagomorpha; Leporidae
Source: RefSeq, a predicted model, not a curated record
CCGGCGCCGCGGCUCAAUAGGCUAAUCCUCCGCCUAGCGGCGCCGGCACACCGGGUUCUAGUCCCGGUCGGGGCGCCGGAUUCUGUCCCGGUUGCCCCUCUUCCAGGCCAGCCCUCUGCUGUGGCCAGGGAGUGCAGUGGAGGAUGGCCCAGGUGCUUGGGCCCUGCACCCCAUGGGAGACCAGGAAAAGCACCUGGCUCCUGGCUCCUGCCAUCGGAUCAGCGCGGUGCGCCGGCCGCAGCGCGCCGGCCGCGGCGGCCAUUGGAGGGUGAACCAACGGCAAAGGAAGACCUUUCUCUCUGUCUCUCUCUCUCACUGUCCACUCUGCCUGUCAAAAAAAAAAAAAAAAAAAAAAAAAAAGAAGGGGGAUCAGGUGUGAAAACGGUGGAUCUGAUGAAAUCCCAGUCCGGGAUCUGUCAGCGCGGGUGGAGUGGCCCAAGACCACCUUAGAUGUUGGUGUCAUUUGAAGAGCUGGCUGUGUACUUCACUCAGAGGAAUGGCAGGAACUGGACCAUGCUCAAAGGAUCCUGCACAGGGAUAUUAUGUUGGAGACCUACAGCAGCCUGCUGUCCUUGAGAUAUUGCAGUACCAAACCUGAGGUGAUCGUCAAGUUGGAGCAAGGAGAGGAGCCAUAGAUGGUGGGAAACCAAAGCUUCCUAGGUCAGUCAGUAAACACUGGACAGGGAGGCUGGGACAGAAAGCACUCAGCACAUGUCGACCGUGUAGAGCUUUUAUGAAUUUUUCCCAAGUCUCUGCCCUAAGAACAGCUGGUGUCAUUUAUCAGACAUAGGCAUUCCAUUGUCUAAGGAAGGCUUUCAUGUGUAUAUUUAUCUGCUGCUUUUCGGUAUUUGGUGAAUAUUGUCUUAGAUUUGCCAAAAAUGCAAUCACUUUCAGGGUCUAAUAAGGCUAUUUUCUAGGAUAGAUACAUCCUCUAAAUUCUAACUCAUCCUCUCUACUUUCAUAUUUUGGUUUUAUUCAGAAAUUUAUUCAUAUAAUUAUUGUUUCAAUACUUAU